This 1119-nucleotide ribosomal RNA is filed under the name uncultured bacterium. RNAcentral describes it as "bacterial SSU rRNA". It matches the Rfam family "Bacterial small subunit ribosomal RNA", at positions 211 to 1348 of the family's 1533-position model. The record is from RNAcentral.
UUUAUUGCUGGGAGAUGAGCUUGCGUCUGAUUAGAUAGUAGGCGGGGUAGCGGCCCACCUAGUCGACGAUCGGUAGCCGGACUGAGAGGUUGAACGGCCACAUUGGAACUGAGAUACGGUCCAGACUCCUACGGGAGGCAGCAGUGGGGAAUAUUGGGCAAUGGGCGAAAGCCUGACCCAGCGACGCCGCGUGAGGGAGGAAGAUCUUCGGAUUGUAAACCUUAGUCAACAGGGAAGAGGAAAGUGACGGUACCUGUGGAGGAAGCCACGGCUAACUACGUGCCAGCAGCCGCGGUAAUACGUAGGUGGCGAGCGUUAUCCGGAUUUACUGGGUGUAAAGGGUGUGUAGGCGGGCGUGCAAGUCAGAUGUGAAAACUAUGGGCCUAACCCAUAGCCUGCAUUUGAAACUGUAUGUCUUGAGAGUGGGAGAGGUAAACGGAAUUCCGAGUGUAGCGGUGAAAUGCGUAGAUAUUCGGAGGAACACCAGUGGCGAAGGCGGUUUACUGGACCAUUACUGACGCUGAGACACGAAAGCGUGGGGAGCAAACAGGAUUAGAUACCCUGGUAGUCCACGCCCUAAACGAUGAACACUAGGUGUAGGGGGCAAAGCCUUCUGUGCCGCAGCUAACGCAAUAAGUGUUCCACCUGGGGAGUACGGCCGCAAGGUUGAAACUCAAAGGAAUUGACGGGAGCCCGCACAAGCAGUGGAGUAUGUGGUUUAAUUCGACGCAACGCGAAAAACCUUACCAAGGAUUGACAUCCUAGGAACCCGGCGUAAUGGCUGGGGUGCCUCUUCGGAGGAAUCUAGAGACAGGUGGUGCAUGGUUGUCGUCAGCUCGUGUCGUGAGAUGUUGGGUUAAGUCCCGCAACGAGCGCAACCCUUACUGUUAGUUGCUACGCAAGAGCACUCUGGCAGGACUGCCGUUGACAAAACGGAGGAAGGUGGGGACGACGUCAAAUCAUCAUGCCCCUUAUAUCUUGGGCUACACACGUACUACAAUGGCGCAGAACAAAGGGCAGCAACCCCGCGAGGGCAAGCGAAUCCCAGAAAAUGCGUCCCAGUUCGGACUGCAGGCUGCAACUCGCCUGCACGAAGUUGGAAUUGCUAGUAAUCGUCCC